This 415-nucleotide ribosomal RNA is filed under the name uncultured bacterium. RNAcentral's name for it is "bacterial SSU rRNA". It matches the Rfam family "Bacterial small subunit ribosomal RNA", at positions 355 to 794 of the family's 1533-position model. The record is from RNAcentral.
UGGGGAAUAUUGGACAAUGGGCGCAAGCCUGAUCCAGCCAUGCCGCGUGAGUGAUGAAGGCCCUAGGGUUGUAAAGCUCUUUCACCGGUGAAGCGGUAACCGGAGAAGAAGCCCCGGCUAACUUCGUGCCAGCAGCCGCGGUAAUACGAAGGGGGCUAGCGUUGUUCGGAAUUACUGGGCGUAAAGCGCACGUAGGCGGAUUGUUAAGUGAGGGGUGAAAUCCCAGGGCUCAACCCUGGAACUGCCUUUCAUACUGGCAAUCUCGAGUCCGAGAGAGGUGAGUGGAAUUCCGAGUGUAGAGGUGAAAUUCGUAGAUAUUCGGAGGAACACCAGUGGCGAAGGCGGCUCACUGGCUCGGUACUGACGCUGAGGUGCGAAAGCGUGGGGAGCAAACAGGAUUAGAUACCCCAGUAGU